CCUACGGGUGGCAGCAGUGGGGAAUAUUGCACAAUGGGGGAAACCCUGAUGCAGCAACGCCGUGUGAAGGAGGACGGUUUUCGGUUUGUAAACUUUUGUUUUUAGUGAAGAAUAAUGACGGUAGCUAAGGAGCAAGCCACGGCUAAAUACGUGCCAGCAGUCGGGGUAUUCCGUAGGUUGCAAGCGUUGUCCGGAAUUACUGGGUGUAAAGGGAGCGAAGGCGGGAAGCCAAGUCAGCUGUGAAAACUACGGGCUUAACUUGUAGAUUGCAGUUGAAACUGGUUUUCUUGAGUGAAGUAGAGGUUGGCGGAAUUCCGAGUGUAGCGGUGAAAUGCGUAGAUAUUCGGAGGAACACCGGUGGCGAAGGCGGCCAACUGGGCUUUAACUGACGCUGAGGCUCGAAAGUGUGGGGAGCAAACAGGAUUAGAUACCCCAGUAGUC
RNAcentral lists this ribosomal RNA (441 nucleotides) under uncultured bacterium. Its description in RNAcentral is "partial 16S ribosomal RNA". It matches the Rfam family "Bacterial small subunit ribosomal RNA", at positions 338 to 795 of the family's 1533-position model. The record is from RNAcentral.